AAUCUAAUUAAUAAUCUAAGUAAAUUGAAUUAUACCAGUGCUUAAACUACCGUAUAACUUAACGCUAAAGAGUGCAUAUAACCUAUUUUUCUGAAACCGAAUCAGAACCGCUGCCAAUAAAUAUCUACUACGCCGGAAUUUCUAAGACCCUUCGGGAAUUACACUAGGGGAAGUAAACGUAAGUGCGAAUUACCUUAUUCUAAACAAUCCCAAAUUACAAAAAUAUGCUAUGUCCUAUUGCUACUUAUGCUAUAACUAUUAUCUAUAUUACAAUGA
Molecule: long non-coding RNA, 276 nt
Organism: Armigeres subalbatus
Lineage: Eukaryota; Metazoa; Arthropoda; Insecta; Diptera; Culicidae
Exons: 3
Source: RefSeq, a predicted model, not a curated record